This 419-nucleotide ribosomal RNA is filed under the name bacterium. Its description in RNAcentral is "partial 16S ribosomal RNA". It matches the Rfam family "Bacterial small subunit ribosomal RNA", at positions 355 to 776 of the family's 1533-position model. The record is from RNAcentral.
UGGGGGAUAUUGCACAAUGGGCGAAAGCCUGAUGCAGCGACGCCGCGUGGGGGAUGAAGGCCUUCGGGUUGUAAACUUCUUUUGCUCUGAACAAGGCAUGCUAAUGGGUGUGUUGAGUGUAGGGGUUGAUUAUCGCCGGCUAACUACGUGCCAGCAGCCGCGGUAAUACGUAGGGCGCGAGCGGUGUCCGGAAUUAUUGGGCGUAAAGGGCUUGUAGGUGGCUAGUUGCGUCUGUCGUGAAAGCUCAUGGCUUAACUGUGGGUUUGCGGUGGGUACGGGCUGGCUUGAGUGCAGUAGGGGAGGCUGGAAUUCCUGGUGUAGCGGUGGAAUGCGCAGAUAUCAGGAGGAAUACCGGUGGCGAAGGCGGGGCUCUGGGCUGUUACUGACACUGAGGAGCGAAAGCAUGGGGAGCGAACAGG